Anarrhichthys ocellatus (wolf-eel) is the source of this 748-nucleotide long non-coding RNA. RefSeq lists it as uncharacterized. NCBI's taxonomy places the organism in Eukaryota, Metazoa, Chordata, Actinopteri, Perciformes, Anarhichadidae. The record is from RefSeq and is a predicted model, not a curated record. The transcript is spliced from 4 exons.
GUCAACUCUAACAGCAGCUGCUCUGGCAGAGUGGAGAUCUUCCACAACGGCAAUUGGGGGACGGUGUGUGACAACAUUUGGGAUGUGAAUGACGCUCAGGUGGUGUGUCAACAGCUGGGCUGUGGCAAGGCUUUGUCGGCACCAAGAAGGGCACAUUUUGGACAAGGAAGUGGACCAAUCUGGCUGGAUGACCUUCAGUGUCUGGGAACUGAGUCAUCACUAAAAGACUGUACACACAGAGGAUUAGGAACUCACAACUGUGGUCAUUCUGAGGAUGCUGGUGUCAUCUGUGAAGAUUUGACUACAGUGAGACUGGUCAACUCUAAAAGGAGCUGCUCUGGCAGAGUGGAGAUCUUCCACAACGGCAAUUGGGGGACGGUGUGCGACGACGUUUGGGAUUUGAAUGACGCUCGGGUGGUGUGUCACCAGCUGGGCUGUGGCAGGGCUCUGUCGGCACCAAGAAGGGCACAUUUUGGACAAGGCAGUGGACCAAUCUGGCUGGAUGACCUUCGGUGUUCAGGAACUGAGUCAUCACUAACAGACUGUACACACAGAGGAUUAGGAACCCACAACUGUGGUCAUUCUGAGGAUGCUGGUGUCAUCUGUGAAGGUUUGCAGUAGGACAUCUGUUAACACCGACCAUUGGACCAAAAACCUGCGAGGACUGACCGAAUGCUGUCUAUGUAUUUCAAUAUAUACAAAAUGACAUCAAGAGUAUACAACAUUAAAAUCAAUAUUCACACUCUAA